CCCGGUGAAGUUUUAACGGCCGCAGUUAGGAGCUGUGCUAAGGUAGCGUAAUAAGUUGUCCUUUAAAUGGGGAAAGGAAUGAAUGGUUUGACGUGGGAAAGCCUGUCUCUGGUGGACUAGUAGAAAUUUUCUUCCCAGUGAAAAGCCUGGGAUGAAAUUAAAAGACGAGAAGACCCUGUCGAGCUUGAUUAAGCUUGAGAGAAUUUCAAGCGAAAGUUUGGUUGGGGCAACCUGGGAGCAAGAAAAGACUCCUUAGGGAAGAUAAGGAUCCAAAACUUUUGAAAAGAGAAAAAGCUACCGCAGGGAUAACAGCGUUAUCUCUUCUGAGAGAACAAAUUGAAGGGGAG
RNAcentral lists this ribosomal RNA (347 nucleotides) under Scintillula solida. Its description in RNAcentral is "partial 16S ribosomal RNA". It matches the Rfam family "Bacterial large subunit ribosomal RNA", at positions 1862 to 2515 of the family's 2925-position model. The record is from RNAcentral. Lineage: Eukaryota; Metazoa; Mollusca; Bivalvia; Galeommatida; Galeommatidae.